GCUGACCUAGUGGUUAGAAUGUCCGCCUCGAAUGCGGGAAGUCGUUGGUUCAAUCCCGGUCGAGUCA
Molecule: non-coding RNA, 67 nt
Organism: Potamilus streckersoni
Lineage: Eukaryota; Metazoa; Mollusca; Bivalvia; Unionida; Unionidae
Source: the annotation of a GenBank genome assembly